UACAGAGGUCUCAAGCGUUGUUCGGAUUCAUUGGGCGUAAAGGGUGCGUAGGCGGCGCGGUAAGUCGGGUGUGAAAUCUCGGGGCUUAACUCCGAAACUGCAUUCGAUACUGCCGUGCUUGAGGACUGGAGAGGAGACUGGAAUUUACGGUGUAGCGGCGAAAUGCGUAGAUAUCGUAAGGAAGACCAGUGGCGAAGGCGGGUCUCUGGACAGUUCCUGACGCUGAGGCACGAAGGUCAGGGGAGCAAACGGG
RNAcentral lists this ribosomal RNA (253 nucleotides) under uncultured bacterium. Its description in RNAcentral is "partial 16S ribosomal RNA". It matches the Rfam family "Bacterial small subunit ribosomal RNA", at positions 524 to 776 of the family's 1533-position model. The record is from RNAcentral.